AUGUCUCCGGCACGUUGGUGCAGGGGGAUGAGGGCCGCGGUGGCUGCCAGCUUGGGGUUGAGCGAGGGGCCCGCUGGCUUCCGGAGCGGCCGCCCCCUCUGCUCGCCCGGCCCUGCUCCGGCGGCUCCCGGCUCGGCUGUUGAGGCUCCCAGGGAGCGGGGCCGUGCAGGCCGCAAGCCCGGAGCGCGCAGGCUGGACCGAGGCGCGGCGGCCGCUGUGGCCGAGCUGCGCGCCGGCGCGCUGGUGGCCGUCCCCGCCGGUACGCCGUAGGGCCCGGCCUGCGCGGCGAGCUGCUCGGCCGCCCUGCGCACUGGAUACCGCCUCAAGGGCCGCAGCGAGGCCCAGCCCCUGGCCGUGUGCCUGGGCCGCGUGGCCAACGUCUACAGAUGUGAGCCCGAGGGGCCCUUAAACACCUGCUGCCAGGACCAGUGACCCUGGUGAUGGGACGGACACUCGGAGAACUAAAAACCCUUUUACGCCUCUUGCAGGCAUCCGGAUUCCUGAUCAUGCCCUUAUGCACGACUUGGCUCGGAUGUUUGAGGGUCCUCUUGCUCUCACUAGCGCCAGCCUCAGCUCACAGGCCAGUUCUCUGUGUUGAGGAGUUCCAGGAUCUCUGGCCCCAAUUGUCCUCGGUCAUUGAUGGGAGACAAAUUGGGGGUAGCCAGAGCCCUGCGUGUCGCCUGGGGUCAACUGCGGUUGAUUUGUUCGUGCCUGGAAAGUUUGGCAUCAUCCAUCCAGGCUGUGCCCGGGAAAGUACCAGAGCCAUCCUCCUACAGAAGUGCAGGCUGCUCCCCUCACGUGCGUCCUACCUGUGAAACUGGGAAGCAGGAAGGCCCAAGGCCUGGUGCUGGAUUCUAUAUGUCUGUCCACUGACGACUGGCAAGGCCUCAUUUGCAGAGGCCACUGGAACUAGGGCACUAGCCUGACUUUUUAGGCAAUGUGUCUUUCUGAGAACUGCAGACCAAGCCCCAGAAGCUGCUGGUUUAGCCUUGCACCUGGGGAAACUGUAUUUAUUAUUCGUGGUUUCAUGUAUCAGCCAAAAGCUGAAUGGAAAAGUUAAGAACUUUCCUAAGUGGCCUUAUUUUAAUAAGUUUCUUCUGUCUGUUUUGUUUUUCAAUUGAAAAGUAAUUUAAAUAACAGAUUUAGAAUCUG
Molecule: RNA transcript, 1152 nt
Organism: Sapajus apella (tufted capuchin)
Lineage: Eukaryota; Metazoa; Chordata; Mammalia; Primates; Cebidae
Gene name: yrdC domain-containing protein, mitochondrial pseudogene
Exons: 1
Source: RefSeq, a predicted model, not a curated record